GAUGAACGCUAGCUACAGGCUUAACACAUGCAAGUCGAGGGGAAACGGCAUCGAAAGCUUGCUUUUGAUGGGCGUCGAACGGCGCACGGGUGAGUAACGCGUAUCCAACCUGCCCAUCACUUGGGAAUAACCUUGCGAAAGUAAGACUAAUGCCCAAUGACAUCCCACGAAGGCAUCCGAAUGGGAUUAAAGAUUUAUCGGUGAUGGAUGGGGAUGCGUCUGAUUAGCUUGUUGGCGGGGUGACGGCCCACCAAGGCAACGAUCAGUAGGGGGUCUGAGAGGAAGGUCCCCCACAUUGGAACUGAGACACGGUCCAAACUCCUACGGGAGGCAGCAGUAAGGAAUAUUGGUCAAUGGGCGAGAGCCUGAACCAGCCAAGUAGCGUGCAGGAUGACGGCCCUAUGGGUUGUAAACUGCUUUUAUAAGGGAAUAAAGUGGGUCACGUGUGACUUUUUGCAUGUACCUUAUGAAUAAGGACCGGCUAAUUCCGUG
RNAcentral lists this ribosomal RNA (492 nucleotides) under uncultured bacterium. Its description in RNAcentral is "partial 16S ribosomal RNA". It matches the Rfam family "Bacterial small subunit ribosomal RNA", at positions 28 to 507 of the family's 1533-position model. The record is from RNAcentral.